Molecule: ribosomal RNA, 253 nt
Filed under: uncultured bacterium
Lineage: Bacteria
Description: partial 16S ribosomal RNA
Rfam family: Bacterial small subunit ribosomal RNA
Source: RNAcentral
UACGUAGGGGGCAAGCGUUGUCCGGAUUUAUUGGGCGUAAAGAGCGUGUAGGCGGCUUGGUAGGUCCGCUGUGAAAACUCGAGGCUCAACCUCGAGAUGUCGGCGGAAACCACUUGGCUAGAGUCCGGAAGAGGAGAGUGGAAUUCCCGGUGUAGCGGUGAAAUGCGCAGAUAUCGGGAAGAACACCUAUGGCGAAGACAGCUCUCUGGGACGGUACUGACGCUGAGACGCGAAAGCGUGGGGAGCGAACAGG